AUAUUUCAACGAGAAUAAGAGCAACAAAAUUGUUGAUGUCAAAAAGUUUGGACUAUGACUUUAUAGAGACUCUUCAUUUGACUUUUGAUGUGUAGUGAUCCUGAAAGCCUGGAUGAUGUGUUAAUACAUUUACAUUGGGAAAAAUGUAAAAAGAUUUCUUAUGAAUCAAUGUCUUUCUUGAUUUUUUUUUUAUCUCAGGUACUGUAAGAGGAUGGUGGAGUGUAUAAAUAAAUCAGAACUGCUAUUUUUCGGAUGGAAAUGACAAGUAUGUGCUUGCAUAGUGCCAAAAUAUGAAAAUAAUAACAUGAAAAGAGGAAAAAGAACAACCUGACGUCUUUGCUAAUCCUCUGGAAGAGAGAACCGCUGGGGUAGUCCGAAAGAAACAGAACCAAGCAGCCAUUCGCUGAAAUCUCUGAGCCUGAGUCAUGACAUAUGUUUUCUCCUCAUGAGUUGAUUUAUUUGUGCAUUUGUCACAGUUAGAGAGUAAUAAUUAAUAG
This 497-nucleotide long non-coding RNA is filed under the name Heterocephalus glaber (naked mole-rat). RNAcentral's name for it is "lncRNA (ENSHGLG00100047555.1)". The record is from RNAcentral. Lineage: Eukaryota; Metazoa; Chordata; Mammalia; Rodentia; Bathyergidae.